This is an RNA transcript of Homo sapiens (human), 1086 nucleotides long. It is a transcript of the gene named ArfGAP with GTPase domain, ankyrin repeat and PH domain 13, pseudogene, with no coding region annotated. The transcript has 7 exons. The record is from RefSeq and is marked validated. NCBI's taxonomy places the organism in Eukaryota, Metazoa, Chordata, Mammalia, Primates, Hominidae.
GUGCACCCUAGCGUCAGCCUCGAGUUUGACCAGCAGCAGGGGUCGGUGUGUCCCUCUGAAUCUGAGAUCUAUGAGGCAGGAGCUGAGGACAGGAUGGCAGGAGCGCCCAUGGCUGCUGCUGUACAGCCUGCUGAGGUGACUGUUGAAGUUGGUGAGGACCUCCACAUGCACCAGGUUCGUGACCGGGAGAUGCCUGAAGCUUUGGAGUUUAACCUUUCUGCCAAUCCAGAGGCAAGCACAAUAUUCCAGAGGAACUCUCAAACAGAUGCUUUGGAGUUUAACCCUUCUGCCAAUCCAGAGGCAAGCACAAUAUUCCAGAGGAACUCUCAAACAGAUGUUGUAGAAAUAAGAAGAAGCAACUGUACAAACCAUUGUGACCUUGGAGAUACCUCAUCAUAUCACACAAAGAGAUGCAGAUAGAUCUUUGAGCAUACCUGAUGAACAGUUACACUCAUUUGCGGUUUCCACCGUGCACAUUAUGAAGAAAAGAAAUGGAGGUGGGAGUUUAAAUAACUAUUCCUCCUCCAUUCCACCGACUCCCAGCACCAGCCAGGAGGACCCUCAGUUCAGUGUUCCUCCCACUGCCAACACACCCACGCCCGUUUGCAAGCGGUCCAUGCGCUGGUCCAACCUGUUUACAUCUGAGAAAGGGAGUGACCCAGACAAAGAGAGGAAAGCCCCGGAGAAUCAUGCUGACACCAUCGGGAGCGGCAGAGCCAUCCCCAUUAAACAGGGCAUGCUCUUAAAGCGAAGUGGGAAAUGGCUGAAGACAUGGAAAAAGAAAUACGUCACCCUGUGUUCCAAUGGCGUGCUCACCUAUUAUUCAAGCUUAGGUGAUUAUAUGAAGAAUAUUCAUAAAAAAGAGAUUGACCUUCAGACAUCUACCAUCAAAGUCCCAGGAAAGUGGCCAUCCCUAGCCACAUCGGCCUGCGCACCCAUCUCCAGCUCUAAAAGCAAUGGCCUAUCCAAGGACAUGGACAUCGGGCUGGGUGACUCCAUAUGCUUCAGCCCCAGUAUCUCCAGCACCACCAGCCCCAAGCUCAACCCACCCCCCUCCCCUCAUGCCAAUAAAAAGAAACACCUAAA